AAAUUACUAUGUAUUAUAUAAUAAUUAGUAAAUUUUCAAUUAAAACUUAUAAGUUCUGUUAUAUUACUUUCAGAUAUAACAUUUGAAAUCUGGGAUUCAAAUAGUGAUGCCUGAAGAAACUCUGCAGCAGCUCUUUACAUUCUUGGAAAAGAUGGGAGCCAUAAGGAGGGAGGUAUUAAGGACAAAUUGAUAGCUGAAAGAAGUACCUUAUUAAUGUUAUUUAUUAUUAAAUUGAAUAAAGUUUCCUAUGGUUGAU
Cydia strobilella is the source of this 256-nucleotide long non-coding RNA. RefSeq lists it as uncharacterized. The record is from RefSeq and is a predicted model, not a curated record. The transcript is spliced from 2 exons. NCBI's taxonomy places the organism in Eukaryota, Metazoa, Arthropoda, Insecta, Lepidoptera, Tortricidae.